GGACUACCAGGGUUUCUAAUCCUGUUUGCUCCCCACGCUGUCGCGCCUCAGCGUCAGCAACGGCCCAGCAGAACGCCUUCGCCACUGGUAUUCUUCCCGAUCUCUACGCAUUCCACCGCUACACCGGGAAUUCCAUCUGCCUCUACCGUGCUCGAGCCCGUCAGUCUGACCGGCAGCCCCGGAGUUGAGCCCCGGGAUUUCACCAGCCACUUAGCGAGCCGCCUACGCGCCCUUUACGCCCAGUGAUUCCGGACAACGCUCGCACCCUCCGUAUUACCGCGGCGGCUGGCAC
This 292-nucleotide ribosomal RNA is filed under the name uncultured bacterium. RNAcentral describes it as "partial 16S ribosomal RNA". The record is from RNAcentral.